Molecule: ribosomal RNA, 251 nt
Filed under: uncultured bacterium
Lineage: Bacteria
Description: partial 16S ribosomal RNA
Rfam family: Bacterial small subunit ribosomal RNA
Source: RNAcentral
GACAGAGGUGCCAAGCGUUAGGCGGAAUCACUGGGCUUAAAGCGUGUGUAGGUGGAUGCCUAAGUACCUUGUGAAAUCCCACGGCUCACCCGUGGAACUGCUUGGUAUACUGGGUGUCUUGAGCCACUUAGGGGUCGCUGGAACAAACGGUGGAGCGGUGAAAUGCGUAGAUAAUCGUUUGGAACGCCAAUGGUGAAACAGGCGAACUGGAGUGUGCUGACACUGAGACACGAAAGCCAGGGAGCGAACGG